RNAcentral lists this ribosomal RNA (255 nucleotides) under Corynebacterium diphtheriae. RNAcentral describes it as "partial 16S ribosomal RNA". It matches the Rfam family "Bacterial small subunit ribosomal RNA", at positions 1 to 259 of the family's 1533-position model. The record is from RNAcentral. Lineage: Bacteria; Bacillati; Actinomycetota; Actinomycetes; Mycobacteriales; Corynebacteriaceae.
UUAUGGAGAGUUUGAUCCUGGCUCAGGACGAACGCUGGCGGCGUGCUUAACACAUGCAAGUCGAACGGAAAGGCCUAGCUUGCUAGGUACUCGAGUGGCGAACGGGUGAGUAACACGUGGGUGAUCUACCUCGUACUUCGGGAUAAGCCUGGGAAACUGGGUCUAAUACUGGAUAGGACCAUGCUUUAGUGUGUGUGGUGGAAAGUUUUUUCGGUACGAGAUGAGCCCGCGGCCUAUCAGCUUGUUGGUGGGGUA